CAGCCGCCGCGGGAAUACGAAGGGGGCUAGCGUUGCUCGGAAUGACUGGGCGUAAAGGGCGCGUAGGCGGAUCACGCAGUCAGAUGUGAAAUUCCUGGGCUUAACCUGGGGGCUGCAUUUGAGACGCGUAGUCUAGAGUGUGAAAGAGGGUCGUGGAAUUCCCAGUGUAGAGGUGAAAUUCGUAGAUAUUGGGAAGAACACCGGUGGCGAAGGCGGCGACCUGGUUCAUAACUGACGCUGAGGCGCGAAAGCGUGGGGAGCAAACAGGAUUAGAUACCCCUGUAGUCCCUGUCUCUUAUAC
Molecule: ribosomal RNA, 301 nt
Filed under: uncultured bacterium
Lineage: Bacteria
Description: partial 16S ribosomal RNA
Rfam family: Bacterial small subunit ribosomal RNA
Source: RNAcentral